UCUGGCUUAUAGCCCAGCGGUCCCUCUAGAGUGCCCAACUGAAUGAUGGUAACUAGAGGCAAGGGUUGCGCUCGUUGCGGGACUUAACCCAACAUCUCACAACACGAGCUGACGACAGCCAUGCAGCACCUGUCUCCGCGCGCCCGAAGGCUACCCGCUGUUUCCAACGGUUACACGGGAUGUCAAGCCUGGGUAAGGUUUUUCGCGUAGCAUCGAAUUAAACCACAUGCUCCACCGCUUGUGCGGGCCCCCGUCAAUUCCUUUGAGUUUUAAUCUUGCGACCGUAAUCCCCAGGCGGAAUACUUAAUGCGUUAGCUGCGUCACCGAGACAAUUAGGUAUCCCGACAACUAGUAUUCAUCGUUUAGGGCGUGGACUAC
Molecule: unclassified non-coding RNA, 378 nt
Filed under: uncultured delta proteobacterium
Lineage: Bacteria; Deltaproteobacteria
Description: contains 16S-23S intergenic spacer region
Source: RNAcentral